Molecule: ribosomal RNA, 497 nt
Filed under: uncultured bacterium
Lineage: Bacteria
Description: partial 16S ribosomal RNA
Rfam family: Bacterial small subunit ribosomal RNA
Source: RNAcentral
GAUGAACGCUGGCGGCAUGCCUAACACAUGCAAGUCGAGCGGACAAACGGGGAUUUUUCUCCGCUGCCAUUAGCGGCGGGCGGGUGAGUCACACGUGUAUAACUUACCUAGAAGAAUGGCAUACCUACGGGAAAGCGGAUCUAACACCCGAUAAUAUGUUGAACCUGGUGGUUCAUUAGAGCACACGGGAUUUGCUGACCCUUAUAGAUGGUUCCGAGCCGGAUUAGGUAGUUGGUACGGUAACGGCUUACCAAGGCUACGAUGCGUAGCAGACCUGAGAGGGUGAUCGGCCACACUGGAACUGAGACACGGUCCAGACUCCUACGGGAGGCAGCAGUAGGGAAUCUUCCGCAAUGGGCGAAAGCCUGACGGAGCAACGCCGCGUGAGUGAUGAAGGUCUUCGGAUCGUAAAACUCUGUUAUUAGGGAAGAACAAAUGUGUAAGUAACUAUGCACGUCUUGACGGUACCUAAUCAGAAAGCCACGGCUAACUACGUG